UAGGGAAUCUUCCACAAUGGACGCAAGUCUGAUGAGCAACGCCGCGUGAGUGAAGAAGGUUUUCGGAUCGUAAAGCUCUGUUGUUGGUGAAGAAGGAUAGAGGCAGUAACUGGUCUUUAUUUGACGGUAAUCAACCAGAAAGUCACGGCUAACUACGUGCCAGCAGCCGCGGUAAUACGUAGGUGGCAAGCGUUGUCCGGAUUUAUUGGGCGUAAAGCGAGCGCAGGCGGAAUGAUAAGUCUGAUGUGAAAGCCCACGGCUCAACCGUGGAACUGCAUCGGAAACUGUCAUUCUUGAGUGCAGAAGAGGAGAGUGGAAUUCCAUGUGUAGCGGUGGAAUGCGUAGAUAUAUGGAAGAACACCAGUGGCGAAGGCGGCUCUCUGGUCUGCAACUGACGCUGAGGCUCGAAAGCAUGGGUAGCGAACAGG
This 428-nucleotide ribosomal RNA is filed under the name bacterium. RNAcentral's name for it is "partial 16S ribosomal RNA". It matches the Rfam family "Bacterial small subunit ribosomal RNA", at positions 355 to 776 of the family's 1533-position model. The record is from RNAcentral. RNAcentral also lists the same sequence under 1 other name.